This 581-nucleotide ribosomal RNA is filed under the name uncultured eubacterium WD222. RNAcentral describes it as "bacterial SSU rRNA". It matches the Rfam family "Bacterial small subunit ribosomal RNA", at positions 9 to 585 of the family's 1533-position model. The record is from RNAcentral.
GAGUUUGAUCCUGGCUCAGAUUGAACGCUGGCGGCAUGCCUUACACAUGCAAGUCGAACGGCAGCACGGGGGCGACCCUGGUGGCGAGUGGCGAACGGGUGAGUAAUACAUCGGAACGUGUCCUGUAGUGGGGGAUAGCCCGGCGAAAGCCGGAUUAAUACCGCAUACGAUCUACGGAAGAAAGCGGGGGAUCUUCGGACCUCGCGCUGCAGGGGCGGCCGAUGGCAGAUUAGCUAGUUGGUGGGGUAAAGGCCUACCAAGGCGACGAUCUGUAGCUGGUCUGAGAGGACGACCAGCCACACUGGGACUGAGACACGGCCCAGACUCCUACGGGAGGCAGCAGUGGGGAAUUUUGGACAAUGGGGGCAACCCUGAUCCAGCAAUGCCGCGUGUGUGAAGAAGGCCUUCGGGUUGUAAAGCACUUUUGUCCGGAAAGAAAACUUCGUCCCUAAUAUGGAUGGAGGAUGACGGUACCGGAAGAAUAAGCACCGGCUAACUACGUGCCAGCAGCCGCGGUAAUACGUAGGGUGCGAGCGUUAAUCGGAAUUACUGGGCGUAAAGCGUGCGCAGGCGGUCUGUUA